UACGUAGGGGGCAAGCGUUGUCCGGAAUCAUUGGGCGUAAAGCGCAUGUAGGCGGUUCGAUAAGUCUGCUGUGAAAGUCCAAGGCUCAACCUUGGGAUGCCGGUGGAUACUGUCGGGCUAGAGGCCGGAAGAGGCGAGUGGAAUUCCUGGUGUAGCGGUGGAAUGCGCAGAUAUCAGGAGGAACACCAAUGGCGAAGGCAGCUCGCUGGGACGGUACUGACGCUGAGGUGCGAAAGCGUGGGGAGCGAACAGG
RNAcentral lists this ribosomal RNA (253 nucleotides) under uncultured bacterium. RNAcentral describes it as "partial 16S ribosomal RNA". It matches the Rfam family "Bacterial small subunit ribosomal RNA", at positions 524 to 776 of the family's 1533-position model. The record is from RNAcentral.